RNAcentral lists this ribosomal RNA (254 nucleotides) under uncultured bacterium. Its description in RNAcentral is "partial 16S ribosomal RNA". It matches the Rfam family "Bacterial small subunit ribosomal RNA", at positions 524 to 776 of the family's 1533-position model. The record is from RNAcentral.
UACGGGGGGGGCAAGCGUUGUUCGGAAUUACUGGGCGUAAAGGGCUCGUAGGCGGCCAACUAAGUCAGACGUGAAAUCCCUCGGCUUAACCGGGGAACUGCGUCUGAUACUGGAUGGCUUGAGUUUGGGAGAGGGAUGCGGAAUUCCAGGUGUAGCGGUGAAAUGCGUAGAUAUCUGGAGGAACACCGGUGGCGAAGGCGGCAUCCUGGACCAACACUGACGCUGAGUGAGCGAAAGCCGGGGGAGCAAACGGG